GACGAACGCUGGCGGCGUGCCUAAUACAUGCAAGUUGAGCGCUGAAGGUUGGUACUUGUACCAACUGGAUGAGCAGCGAACGGGUGAGUAACACGUGGGGAAUCUGCCUUUGAGCGGGGGACAACAUUUGGAAACGAAUGCUAAUACCGCAUAAAAACUUUAAACACAAGUUUUAAGUUUGAAAGAUGCAAUUGCAUCACUCAAAGAUGAUCCCGCGUUGUAUUAGCUAGUUGGUGAGGUAAAGGCUCACCAAGGCGAUGAUACAUAGCCGACCUGAGAGGGUGAGCAGCCACAUUGGGACUGAGACACGGCCCAAACUCCUACGGGAGGCAGCAGUAGGGAAUCUUCGGCAAUGGACGAAAGUCUGACCGAGCAACGCCGCGUGAGGGAAGAAGGUUUUCGGAUCGGAAAACUCUGUUGGUAGAGAAGAACGUUGGUGAGAGUGGAAAGCUCAUCAAGUGACGGUAACUACCCAGAAAGCGACGGCUAACUACGUG
RNAcentral lists this ribosomal RNA (497 nucleotides) under uncultured bacterium. RNAcentral describes it as "partial 16S ribosomal RNA". It matches the Rfam family "Bacterial small subunit ribosomal RNA", at positions 28 to 507 of the family's 1533-position model. The record is from RNAcentral.